AUCCAGAUGACGAGUCCCAAAAAGGACGAAACGCGCGUCCUGGAU
RNAcentral lists this non-coding RNA (45 nucleotides) under Schistosoma margrebowiei. The record is from RNAcentral. Lineage: Eukaryota; Metazoa; Platyhelminthes; Trematoda; Strigeidida; Schistosomatidae.